UGGUAUGGCUCAGUUGGUAGAGCAGCUGAUUCGUAAUCAGCAGGUCGCCGGUUCAAGUCCGGCUACC
Molecule: transfer RNA, 67 nt
Filed under: human gut metagenome
Rfam family: tRNA
About the family: Transfer RNA (tRNA) molecules are approximately 80 nucleotides in length.
Source: RNAcentral